This 398-nucleotide long non-coding RNA is filed under the name Theobroma cacao (cacao). RNAcentral describes it as "long non-coding RNA (TCAC_LNC004159)". The record is from RNAcentral. Lineage: Eukaryota; Viridiplantae; Streptophyta; Magnoliopsida; Malvales; Malvaceae.
UCUGAUUUGGUUGGUCCACUGUCGAUGUCGAGAGGGAGUUUCAUCUUAGCCAAUGACUCGGUAAAUUGCUGCAUGCUUUUCAUGUACAUGUCCACGAUAUCCUGCUGCACCAUCUUCUGCUCGGGCUCAAUGUUGACAGAAACAACAGGUUUUGCAAUGGAAUCACUUUGUGCCCCAGAAGAAUCACUCUCACCAUCUCCGACAUCUGCAGUUUUCUCUUUCGGGGCUGAAUUGUGUUCCUGAGGAGAGGUUUUGGAAGCAGUUGGACCAUCAGAGGACUCAGAGCUUGCAGCAGCUGAUGGAGAUGAUACCCCAUUAGUUGACACACUGCUUGGAGGAGAAUCAAGCUUGGGAACUUGGAUGGAAUUGACAGUAGCAGUUGAGAAGCUUUCCACUAC